Molecule: ribosomal RNA, 486 nt
Filed under: uncultured bacterium
Lineage: Bacteria
Description: bacterial SSU rRNA
Rfam family: Bacterial small subunit ribosomal RNA
Source: RNAcentral
AUUGAACGCUGGCGGCAGGCCUAACACAUGCAAGUCGAGCGGAUGAAGAGAGCUUGCUCUCUGAUUCAGCGGCGGACGGGUGAGUAAUGCCUAGGAAUCUGCCUGAUAGUGGGGGACAACGUUUCGAAAGGAACGCUAAUACCGCAUACGUCCUACGGGAGAAAGCAGGGGACCUUCGGGCCUUGCGCUAUCAGAUGAGCCUAGGUCGGAUUAGCUAGUCGGUGAGGUAAUGGCUCACCAAGGCGACGAUCCGUAACUGGUCUGAGAGGAUGAUCAGUCACACUGGAACUGAGACACGGUCCAGACUCCUACGGGAGGCAGCAGUGGGGAAUAUUGGACAAUGGGCGAAAGCCUGAUCCAGCCAUGCCGCGUGUGUGAAGAAGGUCUUCGGAUUGUAAAGCACUUUAAGUUGGGAGGAAGGGCAUUAACCUAAUACGUUAGUGUUUUGACGUUACCGACAGAAUAAGCACCGGCUAACUUCGUGCC